Molecule: transfer RNA, 77 nt
Filed under: Bemisia tabaci
Lineage: Eukaryota; Metazoa; Arthropoda; Insecta; Hemiptera; Aleyrodidae
Description: tRNA-Asp
Source: RNAcentral
AAAGAUUUAGUUAAAUAAUAAGAUAACAUUAAUUUGUCAGAUUAAAGUUAGACCACAUCUUAAAGAUCUAAUCUUUG